GGGCUUCUUUGGGAGAUAAUUCUCUCCCUCCUAGGUCAGAAGUUAUAUACUAAGAUGAUGCUGGAUAUUUAUAACACUUAUCAGAAGAUUAUCUACUUCUACCUAUAGUAUACAUUUUAUAAUUCUGCAUACUUUAGAAAUGUUCCAGAGCAAACUCUAAAAUGCCAUGAAUAAUUCAUUAU
Hyaena hyaena (striped hyena) is the source of this 182-nucleotide long non-coding RNA. RefSeq lists it as uncharacterized. Lineage: Eukaryota; Metazoa; Chordata; Mammalia; Carnivora; Hyaenidae. The record is from RefSeq and is a predicted model, not a curated record. The transcript is spliced from 3 exons.